UACGUAGGGGGCAAGCGUUGUCCGGAUUCAUUGGGCGUAAAGAGCGUGUAGGCGGCCAGGUAGGUCGGUUGUGAAAACUGGAGGCUCAACCUUCAGAGGUCGACCGAAACCAUCUGGCUAGAGUCCGGGAGAGGAGAGUGGAAUUCCUGGUGUAGCGGUGAAAUGCGCAGAUAUCAGGAAGAACACCCGUGGCGAAAGCGGCUCUCUGGAACGGUACUGACACUGAGACGCGAAAGCGUGGGGAGCGAACAGG
Molecule: ribosomal RNA, 253 nt
Filed under: uncultured bacterium
Lineage: Bacteria
Description: partial 16S ribosomal RNA
Rfam family: Bacterial small subunit ribosomal RNA
Source: RNAcentral